This 490-nucleotide ribosomal RNA is filed under the name uncultured bacterium. RNAcentral describes it as "partial 16S ribosomal RNA". It matches the Rfam family "Bacterial small subunit ribosomal RNA", at positions 29 to 507 of the family's 1533-position model. The record is from RNAcentral.
AGUGAACGCUGGCGGUAGGCCUAACACAUGCAAGUCGAACGGCAGCACAGGAGAGCUUGCUCUCUAGGUGGCGAGUGGCGGACGGGUGAGGAAUACAUCGGAAUCUGCCCAGUCGUGGGGGAUAACGUAGGGAAACUUACGCUAAUACCGCAUACGACCUUCGGGUGAAAGAGGGGGAUCGCAAGACCUCUCGCGAUUGGAUGAGCCGAUGUCGGAUUAGCUAGUUAGCGGGGUAAUGGCCCACCAAGGCGACGAUCCGUAGCUGGUCUGAGAGGAUGAUCAGCCACACUGGAACUGAGACACGGUCCAGACUCCUACGGGAGGCAGCAGUGGGGAAUAUUGGACAAUGGGCACAAGCCUGAUCCAGCCAUACCGCGUGGGUGAAGAAGGCCUUCGGGUUGUAAAGCCCUUUUGUUGGGAAAGAAAUCUUUCAGGCUAAUACCCUGGGAGGAUGACGGUACCCAAAGAAUAAGCACCGGCUAACUUCGUG